UAAAGUACUCUAUGGUGCUCAAUCGAUUUAGAUCCCCAUUUUGGAGAACCUUCUUAGGAUAACUGGUAUGGCAAAGGGCCUCAAGUCCUCCGCAUACAAGGAUCUAUUGAAGAGAGGCACUCUUUUGCCAUGGAUGUGUUCAGUAUCUUCUGUGUACUGGUACUGAUAAUAAUAAACAUCAAUCAAAGUUUAUUGAGCAUCUACUGUGUGCCAGGCACUGAGGGUUGAGUCUCUUCAGAUGUUUCUGGCUUCCAGCUACAAGAGAGAAGAUGGAAGAGAUCAACCCACUUCAGGCUACUGAGGGAAAAGACUCUCAGAAGACAUGAGUGAAACCACAGCUACCCCACACUUGCUACACUAGAGAUGAUGGGAAAUUUCCUCUUGGGAGAGAUCAUGGAAUGUCUCUCUUGAUUGAGCUCAAUCUUUAUGGGAGAUUUCCUUCACUCUGUAUUCAUUCUGCAUUGUCUGGACUUCAAAAGAUCCAUGAUUUCAUCAGUGUGAUAACAGACAGCAUUUCAUAAAUUGCUGCUGCAGCCUCUCCCCCACCCAAAAAAAAUAAAAAUAAAAUGAUUACAUGAUGGCCA
This 584-nucleotide long non-coding RNA is filed under the name Monodelphis domestica (gray short-tailed opossum). RNAcentral describes it as "lncRNA (ENSMODG00000050502.1)". The record is from RNAcentral. Lineage: Eukaryota; Metazoa; Chordata; Mammalia; Didelphimorphia; Didelphidae.